RNAcentral lists this ribosomal RNA (951 nucleotides) under Salinibacterium amurskyense. Its description in RNAcentral is "bacterial SSU rRNA". It matches the Rfam family "Bacterial small subunit ribosomal RNA", at positions 80 to 1044 of the family's 1533-position model. Lineage: Bacteria; Bacillati; Actinomycetota; Actinomycetes; Micrococcales; Microbacteriaceae. The record is from RNAcentral.
UGCUCUGGUGGAUUAGUGGCGAACGGGUGAGUAACACGUGAGUAACCUGCCCUUGACUCUGGAAUAAGCGUUGGAAACGACGUCUAAUACCGGAUACGAGCUUCAGCCGCAUGGCUAGGAGCUGGAAAGAAUUUCGGUCAAGGAUGGACUCGCGGCCUAUCAGGUAGUUGGUGAGGUAAUGGCUCACCAAGCCUACGACGGGUAGCCGGCCUGAGAGGGUGACCGGCCACACUGGAACUGAGACACGGUCCAGACUCCUACGGGAGGCAGCAGUGGGGAAUAUUGCACAAUGGGCGCAAGCCUGAUGCAGCAACGCCGCGUGAGGGACGACGGCCUUCGGGUUGUAAACCUCUUUUAGUAGGGAAGAAGCGAAAGUGACGGUACCUGCAGAAAAAGCACCGGCUAACUACGUGCCAGCAGCCGCGGUAAUACGUAGGGUGCAAGCGUUAUCCGGAAUUAUUGGGCGUAAAGAGCUCGUAGGCGGUUUGUCGCGUCUGCUGUGAAAACUGGGGGCUCAACCCCCAGCCUGCAGUGGGUACGGGCAGACUAGAGUGCGGUAGGGGAGAUUGGAAUUCCUGGUGUAGCGGUGGAAUGCGCAGAUAUCAGGAGGAACACCAAUGGCGAAGGCAGAUCUCUGGGCCGUUACUGACGCUGAGGAGCGAAAGCAUGGGGAGCGAACAGGAUUAGAUACCCUGGUAGUCCAUGCCGUAAACGUUGGGAACUAGAUGUAGGGGCCAUUCCACGGUUUCUGUGUCGCAGCUAACGCAUUAAGUUCCCCGCCUGGGGAGUACGGCCGCAAGGCUAAAACUCAAAGGAAUUGACGGGGGCCCGCACAAGCGGCGGAGCAUGCGGAUUAAUUCGAUGCAACGCGAAGAACCUUACCAAGACUUGACAUAUACGAGAACGGGCUAGAAAUAGUUCACUCUUUGGACACUCGUAAACAGGUGGUGC